Thalassophryne amazonica is the source of this 132-nucleotide long non-coding RNA. RefSeq lists it as uncharacterized. The record is from RefSeq and is a predicted model, not a curated record. Lineage: Eukaryota; Metazoa; Chordata; Actinopteri; Batrachoidiformes; Batrachoididae. The transcript has 4 exons.
AAAAUUGUGGCAUCAUGAAUGUUUUUCUAUCCAGGAUUUGUUAUUAGGGAAGAACAAAUCCUACGAACACUCAGGAGUACUCUCAUGCACAUUUCAGUGCAGACAUGUCACAUUGGUGGCGUUGUCUACUUA